This 36-nucleotide ribosomal RNA is filed under the name Cortinarius angustisporus. RNAcentral's name for it is "partial 28S ribosomal RNA". Lineage: Eukaryota; Fungi; Basidiomycota; Agaricomycetes; Agaricales; Cortinariaceae. RNAcentral also lists the same sequence under 1 other name. The record is from RNAcentral.
UGUGACCUCAAAUCAGGUAGGACUACCCGCUGAACU